This 470-nucleotide long non-coding RNA is filed under the name Helianthus annuus (common sunflower). RNAcentral describes it as "hypothetical non coding rna". Lineage: Eukaryota; Viridiplantae; Streptophyta; Magnoliopsida; Asterales; Asteraceae. The record is from RNAcentral.
GGAAAAACAAACACACACAUCUGGCGUGUGUGUGUCGCCCCAAGCAGGAGAAAAAGAGGAGAAACCCUAAAAUCCUUGAAGUUGCAAAAUUGAGAAGGGAAAUUGAAGCUAAUCAUAUGCAUGAAUCUGAAUGUGCAACCAUUUAAGCCUACUAAUCAAGUGGCAUAGGGAUCAUGUGGAAAUGGACUCAAGAACGGAAGGUUAACGGGUCAAGCGGAGGCGAGGAAGCAAGCAUGAACACUAACGCUCGAGGUUGCAUGGAUUUAGCAUCAUUAUGAAGGACAUAAAGAUUGAAGAUCGAGUCAAGAGCAAAGAAUUGUACGGGAAAGAUCGGUCACAUAGUUUAGCAAAUGUAGGUCCGAAGUAUUAAUAUAAUGGAACGUGGUAAAUCCUUUUUAAUGAAUGUAUGACAUUUGAUAUUCGAACUUUCCUGUAAGUACUAUGUCUAUUAAAGAACGAAAUUUUUGGGU